Long non-coding RNA from Alexandromys fortis (reed vole), 4255 nucleotides. RefSeq lists it as uncharacterized. The transcript is spliced from 2 exons. Lineage: Eukaryota; Metazoa; Chordata; Mammalia; Rodentia; Cricetidae. The record is from RefSeq and is a predicted model, not a curated record.
GCAAGCCAUUCUCUCAUCCACAAGGACCAGCGCCCCCAAUUACACCAGCUGGCCUCCAACUUCUGUGUGAGCCGAUUAAAAAGCACCCUCUCUCUGGUGUCUGGAAACUCCUGCGAGGAAAGUUUGCUGCCCAAAGUUGGCUUUUGACUAGAGUCUUAACAAGAGGCUUGGGCAGGCUGUGGGGAGAGACAAUGUCACUUUAGGGAAGCAGCUGGAAGCGGCAGUUAGAAGAAUUAUUUUAAUGAAUACAUUUCCUUUCAAUUGUAUGGGAAUAUCAAGAUCCCAUUAGAAUGGGGAAGCAAUUAGAACUAAUAAAGAUGAAUGCGCGGCGCUCGGUGCAUGCGGAAUAACAAGCAGCCAACAAAGGGACUCCCGGAGCAGGCUCUAAUCCAAGGGAGCCCACAGCCAGCAGAGGGGAGAGGCCCCCGGCUCAACGCUCAAAGCCACCGUGCCCUGCACAUUCUGAUCACGGCCUGGUCCACAAAUGGCGUUGGACGGUUGGUUUUGGUUGUGGAGACAGGAUCUCUCCAUACGCUGCUGAGUGCAGAUCUUCCAGUGCAGUAAGGCCACCCAUUGCUAUGUGUGUGAGCCUAAUAAACCCAUGGCUUCCCAGCACUUACUUUAGUGGACCUGUACCUUGGUUCACCAUUGAGACCUUAGGAGGAAGACUGGACUUUAUGUCUCCCCUGCAGGUAAGGAAUUUCAGCAACACUGGUACACUCAGGAACUGACAGCCCCUGUGGUUACUGGCACAAGACCAAGCCAAGCACAAUUCCAGCAUGGAUGGGCGGGGGUACUCAAGAGGCCCUGCGGUGCUAUUGAUAAUUGUCAGCUAGUUGCUGUGGGGGGUAUCACUCUUCUUUUGGGGUACGGGCAGGAUGGGUUGCCCAUGUUCUAGGGACUAACCCCAUGUCCAUGUGCACAUGGCAGCACCAGUUGGACUUGGUGGUUAUUUAGACGUGGGGGAGGGAAAGAGUAAGAAAUUAAACAGGAAGGGAUCCAGGAGAUGGACAGAGUAAAUGGGACGUGGGUAUGACCAUAUUCCAUUGUAUAUGAGUGUGAAAUCCUCAAGGGAUAAAGUUUUUAAAAAUCUACGGUAAGGGUAGCACUAACAGUGAAGCUAUGCAUGAACCUGGAAGAUGGGAUGGGGGGACUUUGGGAAGCUUUGAAGAAAGUAGAUUUAAAGUAGCUGGUAUUUUAAUAAAAAAAUAAUAGCUCACUUGAAAUAAGUGUUGUUAGUAUUUUUAAAGCCAUCUAAAUUAUUGCUAAUUUGUCCCUUACAAAGCUCCCCAUCAUCCUAUCUCAGGUACUCCUUUCCUCAGAUUCUCCUCCUUGACCAAUCUCGCUGUAACAGGUGCAUUGUUCUGUCUUCAGCAUUGUCCUUUUAAGAAGGGCACCAGCCGGGCAGUCCAGCCGGCAAUCAUGAACACGGAAAGGCUCUGAGAUCUGGGUUUGCAUUUCCAGUCUAGCACCUAACAGAUGAGUGGUUUGAGGCAGGUAAUUUAACCUCUCUGUGACUGUUUUCCCAUUUGUAAAAUGAGGAUAAUAAUACUUUGCUAAUAGGGAUUUGGGAGGACUAAAUUAUAUUGUACAUAAAACGUUUGGCACAAUCUAACUAGCAAUGGCCCCAAGCUAGAUUAUAAUAAACAUCUUCCUGUCUCAUCCACACACUUAAGUUUUUAUAAGUCAUAUAUGAUAUUAUAUGAUAUUAUGAUAUAUAUUAAUGGGUAUAUAUUUUUCAAAGUUUUUGUUUUGUUUUGAGACAGGGUCAUGCUAUGUAACCCAGGCUAGAUUUGAAUUCUAUUGUUGUUUUUGAUUUGGUUUUGGUUUGGUUUUUUUGAGACAGUUUUUCUCUAACAGUGCUGGCUUUGUAGACCAUGCUAGCCUCAAAUUCACAGAGACCCUCCUGCCUCUGCCUCCAGAGUGCUGGGAUUAAAGGCACCACCACUGGCGGGUUAGACCCAUUUUUAUCAAUAAUGCAGCCGAAGAGCAAAGAGUUUUAGUUAAACUUGUCCAAGAUUAUUCGCAAAUAGCAAAUGCCGCAGGAAAAAUACGACCAUUUGUAAAAUGUUGGUGAUUGCAGUAGUACUUUAAUGAGAAUCAGACGAAUAUAGGGGAAAUGCUUUGACAACAAAACCUAGCGCAUGGAUGCUAAAUACACAUAAUUGCUAUGGUGAUUCAGAAGUAACAGUGAAUAUCGAGUACCUGGAUGGUAAAUAAACAUAAUUGCUGUGGUGACUCAGACGCAACAGCAAAUAAAUUCUAUGCAUGACCUCCAAGGAAUACUUUGGAAAGGCGAUGUUGAAGCUUAGCCCCGGAACGGUGGGUAGGAUCUGAAAACACAGUAGGAGCGGGAAUUUUCAGAGUGGGGAGGAGGAGGGACAUCAAGUGGGAGACGCCGGGAGUAAGAGGUCACCAAGGGGAGAAAUAAGAGUAGUUCUGGUUGGGGGAAAUGUUUCCGUUCCUCGAGCCAGUCAGCAUGGUAUGUGCUUCCUCUGUGUAUCGCUCAUCACCGCAGAGUGUGCUGUCCUCACCUUGCAAUUAACCACUGGCCAGUAUUUCGGGACUGCCUCCAAGAUCCUCUUCCGCCCUGUAAUAGGCAUCCUCUCCACAUGCCACCGAGGCCGCAGACAAAGACUGCAGUCUUUCCCCAUGUGUCCUGAUAAAUUUUAAUGGCCCUAGCGUGCACUCGGAGGCCCUUCUCUAAUUUACCAUCCCCAACGUGUCUCUAAGCGCGCCGCACAUAAGCCUCUGCAGCUGAUGUAAACAUUUACGAGAAGAAUGUGCUGGAACUCCGUGCUAGGUCUCACACAGGGACGCUUCCCCACCCUGAGUGACAGCUUACAGCGUUUACCUCGAGGCUCAGGCACCCUCUCCCCGGGCGCCUGCACCUGCCUAAGCGGGACAUCUGCGCGCGGUCCCGGGUCGCCAUCUUGGCCGCGGAGGCCGGAAGCGGCGAGCACGGACUGCGGCUGCGCGGCCGUGGGCGAGCGUGGAGCUCGCCGUGACCUCUGAGCGCUCCCGCCGCCGUACCUCCCUGGCCUGUUCGCGCAGUCUCUGGGGUGGCUCGCCGGGCACCGCCUGCCCCAAGGCAUGUGGCAGAAGCCUGGGAGUGGGACAGCCCUGCCUCCUCACGCCGAGGGCGAGCAGGAUGGCCAAGACGGCGAGCCCAGGCCCUGGCCGCCUCCCAACGCCAACUGAUCGGACGGCUGCCUAUUCGGUGCAGUUUCUGCUGGUGGAGACAGGAGGAAGAAACUCAUCACACGUUUCCCAGACGGUGAAACAAGUUAUCGGAGAUUUAAAGGCUCUGCACCGGAAGAUCGCCUCAAGAGCCGCAGAACAUCGCGGUACGUUUUUGCUUCCCAGCUGAAACAGCUUCACCGCAAAGCAUCCCACAUCUUGACCUACAGAUUAAAACCUGUUGAGGGCUUGUAGGAGGAUCUGGGAAGAGAUGGCCCCAGAUUAGGUCUCUUAGUGAUAAUCAUGGGUCUUACCUGCAUGAAAGGUAAUAGCGCCGGGGAGGCUCAGUUCUGGGAGAUGCUGAGUCGGUUGGGGUGUGCUUCCAUCAAAGAAUUCUCUUUGGGUCCCCGAGAAGGCUUAUUAAAGGAAGGUUUGCUUCAGCAGCUGUACCUUAAGGUGCCUCACACCAAUUCAUCGGAAUACGAAUGCUCUUGGAGUCCCCAAAGCAACAUGGAAAUCACCAAGAUGAAAGCCCUGGUUCGUGGCCGGGCUUCAGUACGAGUCAACAGAGCCAGAGCCAUACCUGUUUAGGGCCAGUACUAGGGCCACCCUUUAGUACCGGUGAGGUCGGGAGGAAGGCCAACGAGGGCCUAAUAGGAGUCAUUUCUGAGAAAAUUGUGAAACUUUAGAUCUUGUACCUUGCUAGGUUUUGUUACUUUUAAGAUAUUAAAUUGCUGUUUCUAAAUGAGGCCAUUCUUUUUUCCUGUAGAAUUUUGUUGUAGAGGUUUGUUCAUUUUGUAAAAUGUGUUAAGAAGCAUUGCAUUUUAUUCUGUGAUCCUGAACGCAUUAUGCAGUGCUGUAAAGCUGGUCCUUGAUGACUUGAAGGGACUCAGCAGAUUGAUCUGGUACCUGGGGAAAAACCUUAUUUGAUACCUUUUUUGUGUGUGUGUGUGUUUUAUUUAAAAGGGACUGGUAUGUAUUUCUAUUUGCUUGACUAUUAUAGUGAUCUAAAAAAAUUAAAAUGCAGUAAAUGAGAAGCGUAUCCUGGUACACUGAAUAAACUUGUUGAACAUUU